Molecule: long non-coding RNA, 1411 nt
Organism: Vespa crabro (European hornet)
Lineage: Eukaryota; Metazoa; Arthropoda; Insecta; Hymenoptera; Vespidae
Exons: 2
Source: RefSeq, a predicted model, not a curated record
AAAGAAUUGCAUUAGAAAAUUAAAAUGUUACAAUAUCGAUGUAAUCUUAUUCUUCAUAUAAACGUAAUUUCAUAUAGCGUAUUUUUGUGUGUUCGUGAUUUUAUAUAUUAACAAUAAUACGAAUAUAACAUGAUUUAUCCUCUGAAGCUCGUAUGUGUGCAAUAUACUCUUUAUACAAGAGUAUAUUGCACAUCAGGUUGGUAACUAGUAAAUCAAUAUUGGCUCGCGGUCUGCGAUGCCGGCGUUACAUGUGUGUGUGUAUAUAUAUAUAUAUUUUAUAGAUAUAUCUAACGUGCAUUCAGCUUUAUUUUCAAUCACGUCUUUCGUGAAGAUACUUUCGUAUAUUUAACAUUUUAUAAUUUGUCAAAACGUUAAGAAAUAUUACUUAUUGUAAAAUAAAAUAUUAAAUCAUACACAUCCAAUUGCCACAAAAAAAAAAAAAAAAAAUUAAAAAAAAGGAAAGAAAAAAGUUAUAAAUGAAAAGUAUAAUGAAUAAUAAGUUAAAAAAAGAAAAAAAUAUAAAGAGCAGCUUUUAGAAUGUAGUCUUAUGUCGUCGGCCAUAUUGUAUAUACGGUUUUUUAAAGAAAAAUUAUUACUUUAAACAGUAUUACGAUAUAUUUAACAUAUAUAUAUUAUAGAGUAUGUUUUCGUGUCACCGAAUUGAACGUGCAAAUACUUAUACGCAUACACACAUGCAUACACAUACACAUAUACAAAAUAGUCUGCGUAUAUAUUAUAUGCCCUCGAGUUCAUUGAUGUGUUGACCGGCCUCGUUCGAGAAAGAGUAAUCAUUACGACACUGACCUUACUCUAUAAUCCAUCGUAUCAUUCUACGCAUAAUUUCAUUUAAUUCCGCAUACGCCGUGUGUGUUUAUCGGUUUAUGUUUCUCAAAAUGUGUCCGAUAAACUUACCAAUAUCGCGGUGGUAGAACGAGUAAAUUCUGUAGUUUUCCAAUAAGCUCGAUGUGGAUGAAACAAUAGCAUCAUAUUCGAGAGAAACGAUCUCGGUUUCAACGCGACAUAGAAUGCAAUAAAUCGAUAAUUACAAAGAGAAUGACGAGAGGAGUAGACAUAUGGAGAAGAACAAGGAAAACAUCAAUAAAAAGAAAAAAAAAAGGAAAGAAAGAAAGAAAGAAAAGAAAAACAAGGAGAGAAAAAAAUUGCAGCUGCAAAAAGCACGAGUAUUAUCAUAUUUGAAAAAAGAACUUAGAAAUAUUCAUUAUUUUUCUCUAACAUUUUUUUCUAAUUUCAAUUAGGAAAUCGAUAUAUAGCUUGUUAUAGCUAGCGUGGGUUACUCUGUAAAUAUGAAAUGUAGUUGUGUCAUAAACUUAAAAAUCAAUUAGAAAUAACUUUGCGUAUUUAAAAUGUAAUUUUUUAAUUUUGUUCACAUAAAAUAUUACAUUAAACAAAA